Molecule: ribosomal RNA, 177 nt
Filed under: uncultured bacterium
Lineage: Bacteria
Description: partial 16S ribosomal RNA
Rfam family: Bacterial small subunit ribosomal RNA
Source: RNAcentral
CCUACGGGAGGCAGCAGUGGGGAAUUUUCCGCAAUGGGCGAAAGCCUGACGGAGCAAUACCGCGUGAGGGAUGACGGCCUAUGGGUUGUAAACCUCUUUUUUCAGGGAGGAAUCAAUGACGUGUACCUGAAGAAUAAGCAUCGGCUAACUCCGUGCCAGCAGCCGCGGUAAUAAGCC